Non-coding RNA from Punica granatum (pomegranate), 47 nucleotides. The record is from Rfam. NCBI's taxonomy places the organism in Eukaryota, Viridiplantae, Streptophyta, Magnoliopsida, Myrtales, Lythraceae.
UAAAAGGCUUUCUUGGAAGCCACCCAUCUUCAUCUAUAUAUAUGCAU